GAAUUGUAGGCUCCAAAACUAAAACUGAAGCGAAGGUACCCCACGUCGUUUUGGUAUUCAAUUGGACUAAAUCGAAGCCCAUGAUUAACUAUUCCUCUUAAGGGCAUUGGCUAGAAGAUGCAACCUUAAUAAAGUAUAAAAUCAACACUCACCCAAG
Small nucleolar RNA from Drosophila subobscura, 157 nucleotides. NCBI's taxonomy places the organism in Eukaryota, Metazoa, Arthropoda, Insecta, Diptera, Drosophilidae. The record is from RefSeq and is a predicted model, not a curated record.